Molecule: long non-coding RNA, 276 nt
Organism: Zingiber officinale
Lineage: Eukaryota; Viridiplantae; Streptophyta; Magnoliopsida; Zingiberales; Zingiberaceae
Exons: 3
Source: RefSeq, a predicted model, not a curated record
UGAGUUUAACAUGCUCCUUCUAAUCUCAGGUCACUUCCUGCUGACAAAUCUUCUACUUGAGAAACUGAAAACCACUGCAGAAAAGACAGGAAUUGAGAGCCGCAUCGUGAAUCUAUCCUCAGUCGCUCACGUUGGGCCUUACAGUGAAGGAAUCAAGUUCGACAAACUCAAUGACAAGAAAGCGAUAUCAUCACUGAGAAUGGUCAUUUAACAGAUACACAGUGGUAGGUGUUUUGUCCCAGUCUCAAGCCGACAAUCCUUUUUGAUCAGUAUAUC